Molecule: ribosomal RNA, 768 nt
Filed under: uncultured bacterium
Lineage: Bacteria
Description: bacterial SSU rRNA
Rfam family: Bacterial small subunit ribosomal RNA
Source: RNAcentral
GAGUUUGAUCCUGGCUCAGAACGAACGCUGGCGGCGUGUCUUAAGCAUGCAAGUCGUGCGGCAAGGCGGGGCAACCCGCCCUAGAGCGGCGGACUGGUGAGUAACGCGUGGGUGAUCUGCCUUUGGGAUGGGGAUAGCCAUUAGAAAUAGUGGGUAAUACCGAAUACGUUCGUCAUGCUGCGGCAUGGCGAGGAAAAGCGCUUCGGCGCUGCCCGAAGAUGAGCCCGCGUCCCAUUAGCUAGUUGGUGAGGUAAAGGCCCACCAAGGCGAUGAUGGGUAGCCGGCCUGAGAGGGUGUACGGCCACACUGGGACUGAGAUACGGCCCAGACUCCUACGGGAGGCAGCAGCUAAGAAUAUUCCGCAAUGGACGAAAGUCUGACGGAGCGACGCCGCGUGGAUGACGAAGGCCGAAAGGUUGUAAAGUCCUUUUGUUGGGGAAGAAUAACCAUGGGAGGGAAUGCCCGUGGGAUGACAUGAACCGACGAAUAAGCCCCGGCUAACUACGUGCCAGCAGCCGCGGUAACACGUAGGGGGCAAGCGUUGUUCGGAAUUACUGGGCGUAAAGGGCAUGUAGGCGGCUUUGUAAGCCCGGCGUGGAAGCCCACGGCUCAACCGUGGGAUUGCGUUGGGAACUGCGAGGCUUGAAUCAUGGAGAGGGAGCUAGAAUUCCUGGUGUAGGGGUGAAAUCUGUAGAGAUCAGGAAGAAUACCAGUGGCGAAGGCGAGCUCCUGGCCAAUGAUUGACGCUGAGGUGCGAAAGUGUGGGGA